GGAUUCUUCUCCAGCCCCUUCGCUGCUCCCAGAAGAAUGUGAUGAAUCGAGGGUUUCCAGACCGGCUUUGCGCCGUAAUUGCUGUAAGCCGUCGCCACAUGGAAUCCAGCCCGGCCGCCCCAUCCCCGUCCCGAAAGCCAGGCCGGAUAGGAACCCGCGCUGCCCGUCUGGCCUGUUCUGCCAGCCUCCGUUAGCAGAGGUGGGUUGGACACCAGGGUGGGGGAAGAGCAUGAGUGGAGAUGGGGAGGAAGCACCCACUAAAGUAUCCUCAGCAUCACCAACUCAGAGCCUCCAGUUCAACUCAUCACUCCAGGGGCUAAAAAUGCAGCCAAGUCUAGCGGACGGAGCAGAGGACUGGGACCCAGGAACUCCUGCUUUCUAACCCCAGCACUGCCACCUGCUGGCCAGGGAACUGAGUAAGCACUUUAGCAGGAGGCAAACUGCCAGGUCAGGGGGCGAGUCCCAGCAUCACUAAACCCAGUCGUCACCAGCAAACAUCCGAGUUUUUUAUCCUGCUUUGGUGCCCCUCCGUGCACGGCUCCCCUGGGGCCAGGAGAAAGGGGAGUUGCACCGGCCUGGGGAUUAGCAGGUGAAACAGCCCUGCUGACUGAUCUGUGCAUCUGUAACGUGUUAGCCCCGUUUAAAAAUGACUGGACGUAAGAGCAGCCCUUCACGGCUAGCAGGGAGAACAUCCGCUGGAGGAAACGUCCCUGAAGGAGCCCGUCAGCACUCAUCUUCCAAAAUACUCCACGGCCUCACCUGGACUUGGCCAGCAGCAGGGAGCAAACCAAUGACCUCCUGAGCGAACAGCACGAGUCUGUUUGUACAGCUUGUAUAAAAGAGUCAGGCUCUCAAGCCAAGAGGAGUCAUAGACUCACAUCCCAAGAAGUGGGCUGUAGUCCACGAAAGCUUAUGCUCUAAUAAAUUUGUUAGUCUCUAAA
Long non-coding RNA from Trachemys scripta elegans, 941 nucleotides. RefSeq lists it as uncharacterized. Lineage: Eukaryota; Metazoa; Chordata; Testudines; Emydidae. The transcript has 2 exons. The record is from RefSeq and is a predicted model, not a curated record.